This 1107-nucleotide ribosomal RNA is filed under the name Photobacterium damselae subsp. damselae. RNAcentral's name for it is "bacterial SSU rRNA". It matches the Rfam family "Bacterial small subunit ribosomal RNA", at positions 407 to 1507 of the family's 1533-position model. Lineage: Bacteria; Pseudomonadati; Pseudomonadota; Gammaproteobacteria; Vibrionales; Vibrionaceae. The record is from RNAcentral.
GAAGAAGGCCAUCGGGUUGUAAAGCACUUUCAGUCGUGAGGAAGGCGGUGUAGUUAAUAGCUGCAUCGUUUGACGUUAGCGACAGAAGAAGCACCGGCUAACUCCGUGCCAGCAGCCGCGGUAAUACGGAGGGUGCGAGCGUUAAUCGGAAUUACUGGGCGUAAAGCGCAUGCAGGUGGUUUGUUAAGUCAGAUGUGAAAGCCCGGGGCUCAACCUCGGAAUUGCAUUUGAAACUGGCAGACUAGAGUACUGUAGAGGGGGGUAGAAUUUCAGGUGUAGCGGUGAAAUGCGUAGAGAUCUGAAGGAAUACCGGUGGCGAAGGCGGCCCCCUGGACAGAUACUGACACUCAGAUGCGAAAGCGUGGGGAGCAAACAGGAUUAGAUACCCUGGUAGUCCACGCCGUAAACGAUGUCUACUUGGAGGUUGUGGCCUUGAGCCGUGGCUUUCGGAGCUAACGCGUUAAGUAGACCGCCUGGGGAGUACGGUCGCAAGAUUAAAACUCAAAUGAAUUGACGGGGGCCCGCACAAGCGGUGGAGCAUGUGGUUUAAUUCGAUGCAACGCGAAGAACCUUACCUACUCUUGACAUCCAGAGAAGCUUGAAGAGAUUCGAGUGUGCCUUCGGGAACUCUGAGACAGGUGCUGCAUGGCUGUCGUCAGCUCGUGUCGUGAAAUGUUGGGUUAAGUCCCGCAACGAGCGCAACCCUUAUCCUUGUUUGCCAGCACUUCGGGUGGGAACUCCAGGGAGACUGCCGGUGAUAAACCGGAGGAAGGUGGGGACGACGUCAAGUCAUCAUGGCCCUUACGAGUAGGGCUACACACGUGCUACAAUGGCAUAUACAGAGGGCAGCAAGACCGCGAGGUGGAGCGAAUCCCAGAAAGUAUGUCGUAGUCCGGAUCGGAGUCUGCAACUCGACUCCGUGAAGUCGGAAUCGCUAGUAAUCGUGGAUCAGAAUGCCACGGUGAAUACGUUCCCGGGCCUUGUACACACCGCCCGUCACACCAUGGGAGUGGGCUGCACCAGAAGUAGAUAGCUUAACCUUCGGGAGGGCGUUUACCACGGUGUGGUUCAUGACUGGGGUGAAGUCGUAACAAGGUAGCCGAAGGG